This 408-nucleotide unclassified non-coding RNA is filed under the name soil metagenome. RNAcentral's name for it is "partial contains 5.8S ribosomal RNA, internal transcribed spacer 2, and large subunit ribosomal RNA". The stretch from base 1 to 120 matches the Rfam family "5.8S ribosomal RNA", at positions 35 to 154 of the family's 154-position model. The record is from RNAcentral.
GAUGAAGAACGUAGCGAAAUGCGAUAAGUAAUGUGAAUUGCAGAAUUCAGUGAAUCAUCGAAUCUUUGAACGCACCUUGCGCUCUUUGGUAUUCCGAGGAGCAUGCCUGUUUGAGUGUCAUGAAAUUCUCAACCUUUCGAGCUUUUUUGAUGAAAGGGCUAGUUAGGCUUGGAUUCUGGGAGUUUGCUGGCUUCUAUUUGAGUCAGCUCUUCUUAAAUAUAUUAGCAAGGUCAUCGCUAAAUCAUCUUUGAUAUGAUAAUUAUCUAUAUCAUUCAUGAUACUCGGCGUUUCCUUCAUAGGGAAAAGAUCAGGCUUAUAGCUGUCUCAGGACAACAAUACAUUUGAAUCAUUUGACCUCAAAUCAGGUAGGAUUACCCGCUGAACUUAAGCAUAUCAAUAAGCGGAGGA